GAUGAAGAACGUAGCGAAAUGCGAUAAGUAAUGUGAAUUGCAGAAUUCAGUGAAUCAUCGAAUCUUUGAACGCACAUUGCGCCCGCCAGUAUUCUGGCGGGCAUGCCUGUUCGAGCGUCAUUUCAACCAUCAAGCCCCCUGCUUGUGUUGGGGACCUGCGGCUGCCGCAGGCCCUGAAAACCAGUGGCGGGCUCGCUAGUCACUCCGAGCGUAGUAAUACAUCUCGCUCAGGGCGUGCUGCGGGUUCCGGCCGUUAAAAGCCUUAUUUUACCCAAGGUUGACCUCAGAUCAGGUAGGAAGACCCGCUGAACUUAAGCAUAUCAAUAAGCGGAGGA
RNAcentral lists this unclassified non-coding RNA (335 nucleotides) under soil metagenome. RNAcentral describes it as "partial contains 5.8S ribosomal RNA, internal transcribed spacer 2, and large subunit ribosomal RNA". The stretch from base 1 to 120 matches the Rfam family "5.8S ribosomal RNA", at positions 35 to 154 of the family's 154-position model. The record is from RNAcentral.